Molecule: ribosomal RNA, 253 nt
Filed under: uncultured bacterium
Lineage: Bacteria
Description: partial 16S ribosomal RNA
Rfam family: Bacterial small subunit ribosomal RNA
Source: RNAcentral
UACGUAGGGUGCAAGCGUUGUCCGGAUUUAUUGGGCGUAAAGAGCUCGUAGGCGGUUUGUCGCGUCGGAUGUGAAAACCCAGGGCUCAACCCUGGGCCUGCAUUCGAUACGGGCAGACUAGAGUAUGGCAGGGGAGACUGGAAUUCCUGGUGUAGCGGUGAAAUGCGCAGAUAUCAGGAGGAACACCGGUGGCGAAGGCGGGUCUCUGGGCCAAAACUGACGCUGAGACGCGAAAGCGUGGGGAGCGAACAGG